CUGGAGAAAGUGCGGCUUCUCGUGGUCACUGUGGAAGAGGAACUGCCCCGAAGCAGCUCGGGGGAAUUUUAAUGGUGGAGUUGGAGACCACUGCUGAGAGAGAACGACUUUAGGAGCUGAUCUGAUGCCAAAUCUCUCCAUCUGGAAGCAUGAUCAUGGCAUACAGCUGUUAACGAAGUCUUCAAAACAUCCCAGAGAAAUCAGUUUUUGCAUACUCACUACUGAUGGCUGUCAGCUCUACUAAUUCUCCGUCCUGACUGGGAAAUGGAUCUUGGCCCCAGUUUAAGUGGACGGCUGGUUUCUUUCAUUACUCUGGGGGUUUGUUUGUCUUAACUGCCCGUUAUUAGGACAGUGAACUUCCGAGCCCGUGCCGGAAUGACUACCACAUGUUUGUGCUUUGAAAUUCCAGCCAAAACAAAAGAAUAAAAAUUCUCCACACAAUUCCCAUGAGGAGGACUGCGGAAAUAACCAGGCGGUCUCACAGAGUAUGGAAAUCCAUUCUUUUCUUAACCGCACCGCCCGAAGGGUUAAAAACCCAUCCGGCACAUUUACGGUAUUCUGCACCCGUUUUCUCUAAUUGUGCCUCCUGGAAACCUUUGGGAAUAAUGCAAACCUGGAAAUGAAACCCUUUCCCUUUGGGGCCAACUGUACAUGAACCUGAACGCAAAGAGGACUCACUACAAAGCAAAACUUUAGUCAGAUCUCUAUGAAGUGAUAAAGUAUCUCCUGGCAGAAAUGCACCAAUGUGAACUCCAGAAAUCUGCUGGUAUUUGGUCUUUCUUUGUUCUUCCUGGGGCAUUGGGUUGGGUUGGAUCCAAUCUGACCAUGUCUGGAUGCAAUGAAUACCAUUGAUGCGGUGAAGAGGAGCGGAGAUAUAAAACACACACACACACACUUGAGAUAAAAGGAGCAGCGAGCUGCGGCUUGAAGCGUCUCGCCGGGUGUGUCUGUGGACAUGCCACUCAUUCCUGGUUGCAAUCAACAAAGUGAAACCAAAUGAGGGUCUGUGUGUGGGUGGACUUGCGUGUGUGAAUGUGUGUGUGUUUUAUGAUAAGGUCUGGUGGUGGUGAGUGAUUGUAUGAUGGAUUGGACAGGAGGCGCAACUGACAUCUGCGCCGUAAACAAGAAUGACUCAGAGAAACACAAAUCAGUUUCAUUAGUUCAGCAGAUUCACCCAUCAGAGACAUUUAGUGUACAGCAAAAAUAAAUGUGCUUUUAAAUGUUUACCUGCAUAAAAAUCUGGUCACCACUCAUUUAGAAAUGAAGGAAUACACCAUGAGAGCCCAUGUGUUAAAACAAAAUCUUAAUAAAAUCAUAAUAUUAUUAGUACCAAGCUAAAUUAUUAACAACUGCCUAGGCUAACAUUGCUUAGCACUGAUACAGAGGAUUCAUAAACAUAUGAUUUUCCCAUUUCUGUAUAAACAGAAUUACAGUCAAGGAGUUUGACUCUAUAAUAUUUCAUCGAAAGUAGUCUAAAGGUACACCUCAUCACACACACAACCAGUUGAUCUCCAUUAGACCAAUUUAAACCCAAUUUAAGGCUUCGAUUUCCUUCCUGGAAUCAAUCUGAAUGAGUGUUUGUGCCAUAAAGCCCAAAAUGUAACCUGCUAACCUGUUGCUAUAACUGUAUAAUUAAUCAUAAUUUUUUACUGCAGUACUGUGUAAAAAUCCAUGAAAUUUUAGAAGUCCAAUCGAGAAGACAUAUCUUUAUAGGAUAUUGAAAAAGAAAUGUAAUGCACUAGUGAUCUUUUGAACCACAUUGUUCAUCUGCUUAUAAUUAAUUUGAUUUGAGAUACUAUAAAACAUUUGAAAGCGUAAAGCCAACAGUAUAACAUAUUUACAUCCUUCAGUUCUUAGAAUAAGUCGCCAUUUCAACGUUUUUAAUCGUUCAAUAUAAGAAUCAGAAGGAACAUUUUAUUGUGUUUUAUCAAGACAAACACUUUAUUCCUUCAAUGCUUUAUCAAGGUCCUGAUUUUUAUUGUAUUCUAUGAUUAUUUAUUUUUUUCCCACCUACCAGCUGUAACAUCAUGCAGAUGGUAAGGAUAGUAUUUAGUGUUUAAUACUCACAAUCGUUUUUUUUUUAAUAAUAGAUGUGUAAUAAAGACAGGUGAAGUCAACAGAAAAAAAAAGGUGACAGAGACAUCAAAAAUAAAUACAUCACCAUAUGAACACUGGUUUAAAAGAAAGCAUAAAUUGAUCACAUUCCUAAUGUAUGUUUAUUUUAUGAACAAAUGCAUAUUAUUAAAUAUAUAUGACAAAGACAACACAGUCUGCUGUGAGCUUCAGUUCAGUAUUCCAUUUCACUCAAAGAUAGAGCACAACAGGGGCGUAGAUUACGCGGGGGACACUAGGGACGUGUCCCCCCCCACUUUUAUCAUCAAGGAACUUCAUCCCCUGCACUUUUUCGGGCAAGUGUAUUCGUAUAGAGGUUUUCAAGAGCUGGUGUGAAGAAAUAUAGAUUUAAACUCAAAGAGACAGGAUAGUCUGCGCAU
Molecule: long non-coding RNA, 2492 nt
Organism: Carassius gibelio (silver crucian carp)
Lineage: Eukaryota; Metazoa; Chordata; Actinopteri; Cypriniformes; Cyprinidae
Exons: 3
Source: RefSeq, a predicted model, not a curated record